RNAcentral lists this transfer RNA (93 nucleotides) under Deltaproteobacteria bacterium. RNAcentral's name for it is "tRNA-Ser". It matches the Rfam family "tRNA". Rfam says of the family: Transfer RNA (tRNA) molecules are approximately 80 nucleotides in length. Their secondary structure includes four short double-helical elements and three loops (D, anti-codon, and T loops). The record is from RNAcentral. Lineage: Bacteria; Pseudomonadati; Myxococcota; Myxococcia.
GGAGAGGUACCGAAGUGGUCAUAACGGGGCCGACUCGAAAUCGGCUGUCCUUGGAGACAGGGACCGGGGGUUCGAAUCCCUCCCUCUCCGCCA